This 495-nucleotide ribosomal RNA is filed under the name uncultured bacterium. Its description in RNAcentral is "bacterial SSU rRNA". It matches the Rfam family "Bacterial small subunit ribosomal RNA", at positions 342 to 834 of the family's 1533-position model. The record is from RNAcentral.
CGGGAGGCAGCAGUGAGGAAUAUUGGUCAAUGGGCGCAAGCCUGAACCAGCCAUGCCGCGUGCAGGAUGACAGUUCUAUGGAUUGUAAACUGCUUUUAUACGGGAAGAAUAACCUGAACGUGUUCGGGGAUGACUGUACUGUAUGAAUAAGCAUCGGCUAACUCCGUGCCAGCAGCCGCGGUAAUACGGAGGAUGCAAGCGUUAUCCGGAUUUAUUGGGUUUAAAGGGUGCGUAGGCGGGGUAUUAAGUCAGUGGUGAAAGUCUGCAGCUUAACUGUAGAAUUGCCAUUGAUACUGGUACUCUUGAAUACAAUUGAGGUAGGCGGAAUGUGUAAUGUAGCGGUGAAAUGCAUAGAUAUUACACAGAACACCGAUUGCGAAGGCAGCUUACUAAAUUGUGAUUGACGCUGAGGCACGAAAGCGUGGGGAUCAAACAGGAUUAGAUACCCUGGUAGUCCACGCCGUAAACGAUGAUCACUGGAUGUUGGCGAUACAC